This 779-nucleotide long non-coding RNA is filed under the name Oryctolagus cuniculus (rabbit). RNAcentral describes it as "lncRNA (ENSOCUG00000038324.1)". Lineage: Eukaryota; Metazoa; Chordata; Mammalia; Lagomorpha; Leporidae. The record is from RNAcentral.
UUGUAAACUUUAAUAUAGGAUAAUUUAUCCUUUUUUCUUCUAUUAGAAAACUUUUCUUACUCCAAGGCCACAACAACCUUUCCCUAUAUUUCUCUCUAAAAACUUUACUGUCUGCCUUUCUCAAUUAGAUCUGAAGUCAACCAGAAAUUGAUUUUUUUGGUAUGAUGUUCAGCUACUUUUGUUUCCUACAUGAACAGCCCUUUCCGUCUGUACCACAAAGGUGCCUUGUUUCAAGUCAAAUACCUGUGAGGGGUCUGUUUGCAGCCAUCUUGUUCUUUCAGUCCCUUUGUCUGUUCUGAUCUUUCUGCAAUAAAAUGAGUUUCUCUUUAUUGUCCCUCUGUUCCUUAUCCAUUGGAGAAUAACUCAAAAAUUUGUGGGAAAUGAAUAUUAUUUCUUCCACCAAAAUAGACACCUUUUAAUUCCAUCCUACCAUGAACUAUUUGGAAUAACCUUUUUGGCUGUAACUUUUUGGAAUAUACUGUGUUAUGUACAGAGGAAUUUUCUGGAACUGAGAAGGAAUGACAUUGAAUCUGGGUUUUGUUGGUGGUACUUUGCAUGUUCUGAAAAAACACAGGUAUUUUGGAUUUGAAGGAUGCUGCUUAUUUUAUUUCCUAAGUGUCUGGUGGCAGGUCAGAAUAGAAUAGUAGUGGGGAGAAGAGCUGUGUGUCUGCAUGGUGAUGCAUGGGUACAUGUGUGCAGGAGCAGAGAGGAGGAGGGCUGCAUGUGUGUGUGAGUGGUGAUGCAUGGGUACAUGUGUGCAGGAGCAGAGAGGAGGAGGG